Molecule: long non-coding RNA, 3889 nt
Organism: Alligator mississippiensis (American alligator)
Lineage: Eukaryota; Metazoa; Chordata; Crocodylia; Alligatoridae
Exons: 2
Source: RefSeq, a predicted model, not a curated record
ACAAGGGUAAACCAGAAACAAACAAAACAUCAAAUGGUUCUUGGAUUAAUAGUCCACUUUCAGACAAAAAACUCAAACUGACCAAAGUUUGCCGAUAAACUGUCACCCUUUUAAAAUACUGCCAACCCCCCCCCCCAAAACCGAGUUUUAAGUGUAGUGUCCUUUAGACACCUUCAAAACCAAACACUUCAAAACUGUUACCUGUCCUAAAAAAAACUGUCACAAAAAAAAAAACAUGCUAUAAAAUCUAAAAUCAGGUCAGAUAAAAACUUUAUUUCAAUAAGCUAAAGGGAGAGACAGUUAAAGAGAAAAUUUCCCCUGGCUCUCUGCCUUACAGCAAAAGGCAAUUAAUCUUUUAUAGAUUCAAAACAAAGGGUUUCCCAAACUAGCUUUUCCCGCCUUAGGGCUAUCUGUUUUGUGUCUUCAAAACAACUUUACAGCCGUCUUCCUCUUAUCUAAAGCAUCUCUCUUUGAGGCCUUGGCUAUCCUUUGCUUCUACAAAAUAAUCACCAGAGUUACAGGGUUGUUUAUACUGUUUAUGCUGAUUUCUGUUAUAAUAUGGCUUUUAUAACUAUGUUAUUUCUAAUCUUUCUGUUUGCUAAAAAAAUAAGUCUUUUACAGGGUCAACUAUAGCUACCAGUUGUUACAAAUAUACUAAUCCUGGCACCCGCAGUUUUCCUGUCUAAAUAAACAAUUCAAUCAAACUCUCUAAAAUAGACGGAAAAGUCAACAUUGCCCGCUGGUAUCCUCCCUCACAUUGCUAUAAUUCAACAAAAAACCAUAAUAACUGCUGGACAUGUAACCAUCUCCCUCUCCAUGCUCAAGGAAAAAUUCCUGUGAUUCCUACCCCCUAGGAAACAAUAGAAUAACUUCUAAAUCCAUCUAGUAACCCCAAUCUCCCUAACAAAACUUAAAAACAAAAUAAACAAAAGUACUACUUAGUUGUGCCAGUAGUUAAAAAUUGGUGCUUCCACAUAAACUGUUCUAAAAGUUCCUGUUUAAACUUAGAUACUAGCACAUGUCGUCAUUAUUAUACUGAUUUUACUAAAAAAGAUUGACAUAAUAAUCAUACACAAACUCCUACCUUUUACAGCUCUUACAAUAACUUUUACAGCAAAGAAGACUUAACCAAUGACAUUAAUCCUGAAUACAAACCUAUCCCCAAUUUAAAAAAUGCCCUGUGGUAUUAUAAAUAUCAUGAUACCUCCCGGGAACAGUGCUUUUUCAAUAAAACUGCAAAUCCUUCCUUUAAAUCAAAAGGUAAACGAGGAGUGCUAAAAUUAAAAAAUGAUAGCCAUCUACCCCACAAAUAUUCAGGCCUCACUACAUUAAAAAAAAAUAUUGAGUCUGUGGCUCUUACGCCUACUAUAAAAUCCCUGCCAAAAAAAAGGGUAUCUGCUAUCCGGCACUGCUAAAACCCUCUACGUCCUUAGCCACACACCUUCCACGGGGCAGGUGGCGAAACAAAAGAAAUUUGUCAAAAAGCCAAGAUAUGCUAAAAGAUAAUUUCAAAAAACCACUUACCACAAAAAAACUUAUUGGAUACUCCCUAUCUGCUAUACUCCCUGGAGUAGAUACUUCCUGUCUUAAAUGAUACACCUUGUGCCUCCAAACUGUAAUUAAAAUAAUGGCCCACGAAUACAGGAUAGGCCACCAAAAACUUUCAAAAGCUGUCACAGCUUUAGCUAACACUCAAAAAAAACUCCAACAAAUGAUAAUUCAAAAUCACAUAGCUCUUAAUUUCCUCCUUGCUGCCCAGGGAGGUGCUUGCGCAGUCAUCAGACCAAAAUGUUGUGUAUGGGUUAACAGCUCUUUUACCAUAGUUCAAAAUCACCUCAAUGAUGCAACUAUACAUAUCCAAAAUGCCAAAAAUGUAGCUAAAAUCCCCAAAGAUACAUCUCUUAACUGGUUUACUGGUUGGUUCCCUUCCCUUACGGGAUGGCUUAGACCUUUUGUGCUAAAUAUAAUUAAAAUAGUUAUAACUAUAGUCUGCCUGUUAUACUGUUUUCAGUGUUUGUGUUCUUUGGGACAAAAGAUGAUACAAAGACAAAUAAAAAUAUACGGUCAGUUCAUACAAAUACCCAGCAACAAUCAUCAAGGCCUAACUCCACAAGAGCAUAAAUAUUUAAAAGUGUGUUCCAAAACUUUUGAAAGUUUGGAACAAAGCGGGGAUUGUGAUGGGCAAGUUUGUUUUUACCCUGAAAUAAAAUAGUUUUCUGUAGUAUACUGUCAACAAUAAUUUAAAUUAUUAAAUAAUAUUAGCUUUGUAGCUAAACACAAGGCAUGACCUGUGGCCUAGCAAUGUUGCUGACCACAAGACAGAAUGAUCUCUAAGCCAGCAUUUUCUUAUGUCAAGUGCCUUAACCAUUUUGUUAAAAAAAGCAAAAAUUAAGUCUAUAUACUGGAUACCAGCUACAGCUAAGAGUGAGAUAAGAUAAGGGGGGCCCAGAGGGAAAAAGAUGGUACAGCAGAGUACAAAAAAACAGAUUAAAAUGUAUAAGAUAACACUAACUUUUUCCUUUGAAAAAGUACUGAGAUUUAUAAUACACCAUGUAAGGAGAUGAUUACCAUAAAUAUUACAUAUUCAAUAACCUUAUAGUUUCUUUGUUAAAAAAUAUAUAAAAAACAGCCUCACCCUUAAGUCGAGGCCAUUUUACCUCUUUGCUGUUUUAUGGUCUUUAUUCGAGUAAAUAAACUGCAGUUACCCCUUCACCUGUGUUGUCUGGUCUCUAAGCCUGCUAGACAACAAACACCAGGGAGUUUUCUCCCACGACACCCACCUGCAACAAACCCCCUCCUAGAUCUGACAUGAUUCAUUCCAGCACUACCACAUGGUUCCUGAUUUGAUCUCAUUCAAGUCUGGCUGGAAAUGAAGGACAAAGAGAACUUCUUCAUCACCUAUGAACAGCUGUAGCAGGUAAAAUGUUACAGCUGAAUGCCAAGCAGUGUAAAUUCCCUCCUUCCCCUCCCCUCCACUGGAGCCAUAUACCUCCCUAGAAGUUCAGGAUACUGAUUUACCCAAUACCUGUCAGUGUAAAUCCCAAGGAACCCAUGACUGAGCCAUGCAAAAAGGUGGAGUGAGUUGGUACCAGAACUGUCCCUCCACACCAUCCAUAUCCUCGUUACACAUACAACAUUUCUGUACAGAAACUACUUGCCACGUGGAAGCCUUGUUUGAAAGCUGUCUUUGACCCUGGCCUGGUCUUUUCAGUGCUGGGGAGGUAUGGGGAGAGGGAGAAGUCCUCUGCCAGGGCAUGCCCUUGGUUUCUGUUAGUGCCUGUUGUCUUCUCAGACCCCAAGGAGCACUGUGGGGGCUUUAGUCCACUUUACCUUUGUAAUGGUAACCCUGUCUGUCACCCUAGGACCUGUGGGGGGUUCUAUUGGGCUGUACCCUGGUUACUGUAAUUGCCUUUUGUCUCCCUAGGACCUCAGGGGCAGCUUAAUGAGGUUCUGCCAGUUCCGGGGCAGGAUUUGGAUGAUGGGGGCAUCUCCUCAGUGGUGGAAAAUGUCUCCUUCCAGGACAUGAAAGGAAAUAUUAUGUGCAACUUGACACUGCUCCCAGGUGACAUCAUGGACCAGGAGAAAGGCACAUUCCCGAGGAAGGAUGAGGUGAUGAGCACCCUUUUCAUACUGCCUAUGGAUCCUGCCACCCUACUGCUCGUCCUGCUGAUGCUGGGAACAGCAGUGCCUUAGGUUGGCAUGCUGGCAUGUUUUACAGGAAUCUGUGGUGACCAGACAAACCAUUUCACGGUGGCACAGAGCAAGGCCUUUGAGAAGAUUUACCAGGACAGGAUGCAGGGCUUGCACAAGGCCUUCCCCUGGGAGGAAUGCAAGGAUCUCAUCCCAUCUGAGAGCAGUGAUACAUCAAAAUAAACUUGACCACAAUGUC